This is a long non-coding RNA of Cebus imitator (Panamanian white-faced capuchin), 543 nucleotides long. RefSeq lists it as uncharacterized. The record is from RefSeq and is a predicted model, not a curated record. The transcript is spliced from 2 exons. NCBI's taxonomy places the organism in Eukaryota, Metazoa, Chordata, Mammalia, Primates, Cebidae.
UUCUUCCCACUACUUCCUCCCACUUCCUCAACAUGAGUGGGAUGAUUUAUCUUGCUGGUGAGAUCAGGGCAAGAGGCAAUGCUCAUGAGUGGUCUGGUUUUUUGCUUUCUCUCCUGUACAGCCAACUGUUUUGAUUGGUGGGAUUUGGGGUUCUUUCCAGGUUGUCUCCUCUAUGCAAAAUGCUGGUGGACAACAUGAUGUGCCUGCUCAGGUCCCAUAGCUUCCCAUCCUCUGCCUGGAACUGAGUGAGAUACUUUGGCUGUUGGAGGAUUGCCAGAUGUUACUGCUGUAAAAAGAUGGGGACAAAGAAGUGCUUCUGAAGUCUGAUCCACUACAUGUUACUCAAGCUCAUAAAAUUCAUGCAGCAAAUGCUUUUGGUGUUCUGCUCUGGAUCCCCCAGCACUCACCCUUGUACCAGCUGAUAGCUCCCUACUAUGACAACGCUGAACUAAAUUCAGUCUUGGGUGCUUUUUCCACUAUUAUGUUUGCUCCAGUUACUGCUGCCAUUGUUGUAAAUAAAAGAUGCAGGUUUUACACAGCAGA